GACGAAAUUCAACAGAGGUUAUCAAAGAGAAUAAUAAAAUACCAAAGUUUAAAGAGAGCACUAUCAAAACAGAAAAGACAGAAAUUUAACUAAUGGAAAGAAGAAAGGACAGAGAGGAGCAUAUUAACACUUCCAGAAUAAGAAGCGGGAAUACGACAUAGUGUAUGAGACUGUGCAAUUGAG
Molecule: long non-coding RNA, 183 nt
Organism: Mytilus trossulus (common blue mussel)
Lineage: Eukaryota; Metazoa; Mollusca; Bivalvia; Mytilida; Mytilidae
Exons: 3
Source: RefSeq, a predicted model, not a curated record